RNAcentral lists this ribosomal RNA (497 nucleotides) under uncultured bacterium. RNAcentral's name for it is "partial 16S ribosomal RNA". It matches the Rfam family "Bacterial small subunit ribosomal RNA", at positions 28 to 507 of the family's 1533-position model. The record is from RNAcentral.
GAUGAACGCUGGCGGCGUGCCUAAUACAUGCAAGUCGAGCGAACAGACGAGGAGCUUGCUCCUUCGACUUUAGCGGCGGACGGUUGAGUAACACGUAGGUAACCUACCUAUAAGACUGGGAUAACUUCGGGAAACCUGAGCUAAUACCGGAUAAUAUUUCGAACCGCAUGGUUCGAUAGUGAAAGAUGGUUUUGCUAUCACUUAUAGAUGGACCUCCGCCGUAUUAGCUAUUUGGUAAGGUAACGGCUUACCAAGGCAACGAUACCUAGCCGACCUCAGAUGAUCAUCGCCCCCACCAGCACUGACAGACGGUCCAGACUCCUACCGGAGCCAGCACUAGCGAUUUGCCCGCAAUAUGCGAAAGACUGACGGAGCAAUGCCGCGUGAUUCAGGCAGUGCCUCGGAUCGUAGAACUCUGUGAUUACGGAAGAACAAACGUGUAAGUAACUGUGCACGCCUUGACGGUACCUAAUCAGAAAGGCACGGCUAACUCCGUG